Molecule: unclassified non-coding RNA, 438 nt
Filed under: soil metagenome
Description: partial contains 5.8S ribosomal RNA, internal transcribed spacer 2, and large subunit ribosomal RNA
Rfam family: 5.8S ribosomal RNA (bases 1-120)
Source: RNAcentral
GAUGAAGAACGUAGCGAAAUGCGAUACGUAAUGUGAAUUGCAGAAUUCAGUGAAUCAUCGAAUCUUUGAACGCAUAUUGCGCUCUUUGGUAUUCCGAAGAGCAUGCUUGUUUGAGUAUCAGUAAACACCUCAAAACUUUUGAUUUUUUUUUAAAAAAAAAAGGUUUUGGACUUGAGCAAUCCCAACACCAAUCUUUUUUAGAUCGGUGGCGGGUUGCUUGAAAUGCAGGUGCAGCUGGACAUUCUCCUGAGCUAAAAGCAUAUUUAUUUAGUCCCGUCAAACGGAUUAUUACUUUUGCUGCAGCUAAUAUAAAGGGAGUUUGACCGUAUUGGCUGACUGAUGCAGGAUUUCACAAGGGUCGGCAACGAUUCUUGUAAAACUCGAUCUCAAAUCAAGUAAGACUACCCGCUGAACUUAAGCAUAUCAAUAAGCGGAGGA